UUUAUCGGAGAGUUUGAUCCUGGCUCAGGACGAACGCUGGCGGCGUGCCUAAUACAUGCAAGUCGAGCGGACAGAUGGGAGCUUGCUCCCUGAUGUUAGCGGCGGACGGGUGAGUAACACGUGGGUAACCUGCCUGUAAGACUGGGAUAACUCCGGGAAACCGGGGCUAAUACCGGAUGGUUGUCUGAACCGCAUGGUUCAGACAUAAAAGGUGGCUUCGGCUACCACUUACAGAUGGACCCGCGGCGCAUUAGCUAGUUGGUGAGGUAACGGCUCACCAAGGCGACGAUGCGUAGCCGACCUGAGAGGGUGAUCGGCCACACUGGGACUGAGACACGGCCCAGACUCCUACGGGAGGCAGCAGUAGGGAAUCUUCCGCAAUGGACGAAAGUCUGACGGAGCAACGCCGCGUGAGUGAUGAAGGUUUUCGGAUCGUAAAGCUCUGUUGUUAGGGAAGAACAAGUGCCGUUCAAAUAGGGCGGCACCUUGACGGUACCUAACCAGAAAGCCACGGCUAACUACGUGCCAGCAGCCGCGGUAAUACGUAGGUGGCA
RNAcentral lists this ribosomal RNA (554 nucleotides) under Bacillus velezensis. RNAcentral's name for it is "bacterial SSU rRNA". It matches the Rfam family "Bacterial small subunit ribosomal RNA", at positions 1 to 536 of the family's 1533-position model. The record is from RNAcentral. Lineage: Bacteria; Bacillati; Bacillota; Bacilli; Caryophanales; Bacillaceae.